UNCAUAGCAAGUUUAAGGUCAGCCUAUGAU
RNAcentral lists this non-coding RNA (30 nucleotides) under Rattus norvegicus (Norway rat). Lineage: Eukaryota; Metazoa; Chordata; Mammalia; Rodentia; Muridae. The record is from RNAcentral.